Molecule: ribosomal RNA, 278 nt
Filed under: uncultured Lysobacter sp.
Lineage: Bacteria; Pseudomonadati; Pseudomonadota; Gammaproteobacteria; Lysobacterales; Lysobacteraceae
Description: partial 16S ribosomal RNA
Rfam family: Bacterial small subunit ribosomal RNA
Source: RNAcentral
AGAGUUUGAUCAUGGCUCAGAGUGAACGCUGGCGGCAGGCCUAACACAUGCAAGUCGAGCGGCAGCGGGUCCUUCGGGAUGCCGGCGAGCGGCGGACGGGUGAGGAAUACAUCGGAAUCUGCCCUGUCGUGGGGGAUAACCUAGGGAAACUUAGGCUAAUACCGCAUACGACCUACGGGUGAAAGCGGGGGAUCGCAAGACCUCGCGCGACAGGAUGAGCCGAUGUCCGAUUAGCUAGUUGGCGGGGUAAAGGCCCACCAAGGCGACGAUCGGUAGCU